UGGAGCGCGGUACCACCGUUUUGCCAGAUCUGGUUCUCCGCCAAGUUGAGCUACACGUCAUUAGGGAACAUGUACUGGUGACUGGACGUGUGCAGUGCGCGUCAGGCGGUUCCCGGAUGCACCAAACAGAAACAUGGAACGGGUGGUGGUGGAAGUCCCGAUCAACAACGGUUUUUCCCUCGCCGGCCCCUCCACGACCCCACGAAAGCGCCAGGUGCGUUUCUCAGCGCGGCAUGACAUCAUCCUUCUGCGGGAGGUUAUUGCCCAGAACCCGUUUGCCUCCAAAGAGCCAGGACGGAUCUGGGCCCGUGUUGGGGAGAUCAUCACUGCAGCCCUUCAAGAUGAAAACUUUGAGGUGGAUGCCAGGAGGUGCAGGGAGAGGACCAUGCUGCUGUUGGACUACUACAAGAAACAAGACUUCCCCAGUCUGCGCAGAUUUGGAACGGAGAGGUUGUACGCCCAAAAGGAAGAUCUGCUCCAUGAAGGUUUUGGAGCUGGAGGCUGAGAAGGGGCUCUUGGCCGGCGGUGAAAACACAAAGUACCAGGAUGAUGAACUGAGAAAACGAGCCAUAGAAGAACUAACUCUACCAGAGCAGGACAAACCCAACAUCACCAUCACACAAACACCCACUGCAGCAGAACCAGAAGAAGACCGAGAGGAAAUGGCAGAGCUUUCAGCUGCGCCCACAGCCAAGCGGCCGUGCCAGUGCUGCUGCCAGACAUACUCUGAGAUUCUCAGUUUUCUGGAGAAACGCUCAGAGGCAGAGCAGCGGCUACGAGAGGAGGAGCUUUCACUGCGCCGGGAGGAGUUGGAGAUUCAAAGGAGUAAGAUCGCUCUGGAGAGGGAACGUCUGGCAGCUGAGAGAAAAGAGAGAGAACGGAGAUUUGAGCUGGAGAGUCAAGAGAGGCAGGUCAUCUUGGACCUGCUAAAAGAAAAGGUGCUGAAAGGCUGAAACACUGUUAUCACCUGCAUUUUAAUGCAAUCUUUUAAAAGAAGUCAAAGCAUGAAAUAUGGGAAAACAAGAUAGUUGAUCGCUUAAAAGAGGAAGGAAACCAAGGAAACAGGAAGUGAAAAAAAUCAAUGAUUGUAGGUUUUUACGUGCAGGUCAUUGUUAAAUAACCAGACAAAAGGGAGGGCAGUAAUACAGGAUUUGCAUAUGCCACAACAGCCAAACAAAUGACUAAUCUUGGGAGUGUCCAGGCGUACAAAGUACCAAAAAAAGAUAUUAACCUGCUGACCCAUAUCAAUCCCAACAGACACUCCCUGUGUGUUAUUACUCAUGGCACAAUCUGAAUGAAUUGCUGCAAUUGAUGGAGUAUCACCUAAGAAAUGGAAUGCAGAAAAGGGUGUGGUGCUGUGUCUUAGGUGUGUUGAGCCAAAUCAGUGGCUCAGUUUUUCAAUUCGAUGAUAUUUUGAUUAAAAUAGAAGCAAAACUACAGUGUAUUUUACUGACUGGUAAGCACUUUUAUACUGCAUCAAUUCCCGCCAUUAAUUGAGCGUCCAUAUUCUAGAGAUUAUACAGAAACAACUUUUUUAACUGAUGUCUUAGGUGAUCUACAGUCAUGUUGCUAUAAGAUAGUUAUUAGUCAAAUGUAUGCCCUCAGUUUAAUGUGUUAUACCCAGGUAUAGUUAACUGUCAUUGGUUAAAGUUGCAAUAUUACAUAAACAUGGAAUUCAUGACAGGAACACUUUUUUAUUACAUGUUCUACUGACUUAUUACACUUGUUACGGUGACCUUAUGUAUAUUGUUCAUAAAAAUGCUAUUUUUCUUGAAGUCCACAUAGCAUAUCCUAAGUUAUAUAAAAUGAAAGAAUGUAAAGAAAAACUUGCUAAUUUCUAUUCUGAAAAUAAAUAAAAAAUGUAGCCGUGUUUGUGUGAAUUCAUAAUGAUCACCACCAGGGGUGUCAAACUCAUUUUAGUUCAGGGGCCACAUGCAGCACAAUUUGAUCUUAAGUGGGCCGGACCAAUAAAAUCACAGCAUAAUAACCUAUAAAUAACGACAACUCCAAAUGUUUCCCUUCGUCAUAAUGCAAGACGAAGGGAAAUGUUCAAAUUUAAUGAACUAUCUUUUUACAAAAAAUUAUGAACAACCUGAAAUUUCUUAAGAAAAAAAGGUGCAAUUUCAACAAUAUUAUACCUCAGUUUAUAAUUUACACAUGUUCAUUACAACUGACAGAUCAGUGUAUCUACAAAGGCACAACACAUUUAGUCACAGGUAUUUGGAACAAUACUUUACUUUAUGAUCAAAACAACUAAUUUUUACACUUUGCAAAGUCAUCCCGCAGGCCGGAUUGGACCCUCUGGCGGGCUG
RNAcentral lists this long non-coding RNA (2312 nucleotides) under Cottoperca gobio. RNAcentral describes it as "lncRNA (ENSCGOG00000006589.1)". The record is from RNAcentral. Lineage: Eukaryota; Metazoa; Chordata; Actinopteri; Perciformes; Bovichtidae.